GUGUGCGCGCUUCAGGGCCAGUUUCAGCGGAACACUUUGAUUUCUGCUUACUGCUAAAUCCUCCUUCUAGAUACACGUUUCAGUAAUAUUAUUCGUGAUUCACUGUAAUAGGGAAUGUAGCCCAUUUCUUCCCUUUCCAUGCGCUACACCUCGACCUGACGUUCUGGGUUUUACCAAUCAUGCUCACUAGGGGGCCUUCAUAGGGUAAGCUGGCGACGGCGGUAUAUAGGCGGGGAUGACUAGGAAAGGUGAGGUUAAACGGGGGUUAUCGGUUAUAGAACAGGCUCCUCUAGGUGGGUCUAAAGCACCGCCAAGUCCUUUGGGUUUUAAGCUGUUGCUCGUAGUCUCUCAGGCGGAUAGUGGGUGU
Molecule: ribosomal RNA, 367 nt
Filed under: Epinephelus bontoides (palemargin grouper)
Lineage: Eukaryota; Metazoa; Chordata; Actinopteri; Perciformes; Serranidae
Description: partial 12S ribosomal RNA
Source: RNAcentral